CAGGCUGCCAGGAGACAAAAAAAGAGAAAAAAAAGGGAGAUUUCAGGAAGAACUUCAGUCCAGGUGAUGUAAUCUUUUUUAUGGUAUAUCUAGCUUUGCAAAUAAUAUCUAACUGAAUACUUAAGGCAGCUUGGUGGUGCUGGGAGGGGUGUGGUAUAUGUAUGUUAAGAAAUGCUUGCCCGCUGGGAAAGGAAUGCCACGUAGGCAAGCCCAGACAAGUACGGACAUGUUCUGUGGCUAAGGCAAUAUGCGCAUGGGCUAAGAGAAGGCAGCCAAUAGUAACGGUACAGCGUGUUAAGUGGGAGAAAGCUAUAUAAGGCUGAAGCAAGCCAAGUGGGGUGGUGCUUGCUUUGCGAACGAUCGCCAAGCACCCCUCUCUGCGCAGACUUGAAACAAUAAAGAUUAAGUUGGAUCCUCCACCCCUGUGUGUUUAUUGGCAAAAGCGCACCGGGCACGAACUCACACUGUCCUUUGUGGACAACAAUUUGGCGACCCAGAUGGCACCCCAUUGACCGCUUUGCCCGGUCCACCUCCUCGGCUCCGGCAACGGCUGUGGACGGCGAGAGGACCAGGCGCCACCGGCCCUUUCGUCAGAGGUCUGACCGUCUCCUGGUUGUUUGACGGAGCCAUGGAGGGGCACAACGGCGCAACGCUCGGAGGAACAAAUUAAUCCAACGGGACGAGGGAGGUCUCAAUGGACUGGUAUGUCCAAGAGCGACUUCCACUGCCUUUAGAUACUCCAGUCCACAAGUUCCAAACUGGAGAUGAGGUUUUGGUCCGAACGUGGAAAGACGAGCCUCUUCAACCCAAGUGGAAGGGACUGUAUCCCGUGAUCCUCACCACUCAUACAGCGGUGAAGGUUCAAGGGGUAAAGCCAUGGAUCCACUAUAUCAGGGUAAAGGCCGCGCCGGAAGUUUCUUCCGAGGGAGCAGUUGCUGAGAGUGUCGCACUAGAAGCCGACACAAAAGGACAUCAUUGGAUAGCAGAGCCUGUGGAAGGACUUAGAUUCUUGUUUAAACAUCAGCCAUGUGGAAAGUAGUUCUUUACCUAAGUCUAGGGUUUCUAGGGUUGGAGGGAUUGUUACAUCGAAAAUUUGAGAAAAACCAAAAUGUGUGGAUUUACUUGGCAAAAGAGGUGGUGAACAGAACUCAUUUCUGUUUGGCUGGUGUUUACCUCAUGCCUCAUAGGGGUACCCACUCCAUUAGAAACGCUCCAAAGUCAGAUUUGGCUAAAAAACUUCGACCUUUCGGGGUUUAAUCUCUGGAAUACGGCCUAUGAGUGGGGACCCAUUACUCAGAAGAGAAACAUUAGUACCUUUUCGAUAGAUUUGCUAACCGUGACCUCACCUAGUAACACCAGUUGUGCUCAAUUUGUAAAUUGUACCAAAGUUUGUGAAAACCUAACCUGAGAGGAAGGGACUUUCAACUGUUCAAACAAAACCAAUGUGUCUUAUGGUACUGGUAAUGUCAUACUACCCUCAGGAUGGUUCCUCCUUUGUGGGAAAACCGCUUAUUCGUACAUCCCAGCUAAUGCAACAGGGGGACCCUGUACUCUUGGCAGGUUAAUUGUCUGGUUACCUCCAGCAGGCGCCACUGAAGAAGUUCUAGCCAGCUAGACGAGUCCUGUGAUAGUAACAUAAACCUCCUCAGUAAAGCUGAGGCAGUGUCUUUAGCAGUCUCUAUAGUAGGUUUACCAGCCCUGGCAGUAGGCAACCAUGGUCAGAUAAGCAAAGUGGCCUGCGCCUUAGCAAAGGGCCUGAACACAACCUCACAGGCCCUAGCUGCCCUCAGCACCGAGAUGAAAGAACUGCGGGGGGCUAUGCUGCAGAAUACAGCAGCCAUAGACUACCUGUUACUGAGACGUAACCACGGGUUUGAAGAGUUUGAUGGGAUGUGUUGUUUCAAUUUGACAGAUAAUUCCGAGCUAAUAGAGUCAAAGGUACAGAAGUUGCAGGAUAUUCUGUCACAUAUUAAGCAAGAUGAUGGAUUUGAUUUUUCAUGGCUUACUUCUUGGCUUCCUAAUUUUUCAUGGCUAAAGCAGGUGUUCCUUUUAAUUGUAGCAGGUAUAUGUAUUUUCCUAAUGAUUUGUUGUGGAGUGCAAUGUGUGCCUAUGUGCUGUGACUCACGCAAGAAGUUGAUACCUACCCCUGUCAACCAAGUGAUGUUCAUGAAACCUUCAGUCAUGGAUCCAAUCCAGAAGAAUCGAGAAGACGCAAAACGGUUUUUGAGACUAAAAGGAAUGGUCGAGGACUAUGGACCCAUUUCAUAGGGUCAUAGCCUCGAAGAGGGGAUUUGAUGUAAUCUUUUUUAUGGUAUAUCUAGCUUUGCAAAUAAUAUCUAACUGAAUACUUAAGGCAGCUUGGUGGUGCUGGGAGGGGUGUGGUAUAUGUAUGUUAAGAAAUGCUUGCCCGCUGGGAAAGGAAUGCCACGUAGGCAAGCCCAGACAAGUACGGACAUGUUCUGUGGCUAAGGCAAUAUGCGCAUGGGCUAAGAGAGGGCAGCCAAUAGUAACGGUACAGCGUGUUAAGUGGGAGAAAGCUAUAUAAGGCUGAAGCAAGCCAAGUGGGGUGGUGCUGGCUUUGCGAACGAUCGCCAAGCACCCCUCUCUGCGCAGACUUGAAACAAUAAAGAUUAAGUUGGAUCCUC
Alligator mississippiensis (American alligator) is the source of this 2645-nucleotide long non-coding RNA. RefSeq lists it as uncharacterized. The record is from RefSeq and is a predicted model, not a curated record. Lineage: Eukaryota; Metazoa; Chordata; Crocodylia; Alligatoridae. The transcript has 2 exons.